This 253-nucleotide ribosomal RNA is filed under the name uncultured bacterium. RNAcentral describes it as "partial 16S ribosomal RNA". It matches the Rfam family "Bacterial small subunit ribosomal RNA", at positions 524 to 776 of the family's 1533-position model. The record is from RNAcentral.
UACAGAGGUGGCGAGCGUUGUUCGGAUUUACUGGGCGUAAAGGGCGCGUAGGCCGUUGCGUGUGUCGAGUGUGAAAUCCCCGGGCUCAACCCGGGAAGUGCGCUCGAAACUGCGUGACUUGAGCAGAGGAGGGGAGAGCGGAAUUCAUGGUGUAGCGGUGAAAUGCGUUGAUAUCAUGAGGAACACCGGUGGCGAAGGCGGCUCUCUGGAAUCUUGCUGACGCUGAGGCGCGAAAGUCGGGGGAGCAAACAGG